AUAAAGGCUAUGAAGAGGAAGAGUAGGCAAUAUUAUAAUUCAAAGAGAGUUGAUUUAAGGUGAGAUGUCAACAAUAUGAAUUGCAGAAGGCAGCCUCUGAGUUUCUUAUCGAGAAAUAAGAAUUUUUUAAUUCAAAGAAUAGAGAAAGACGUGUCCUCACGUUACAGAGGAAAGGGAUAAAAAAUCCCUUACUAAGAGAGAAUAGAAAUAUUCUAAUUAGGGUGGUACCGCGAAUAACAUUUUCGUCCCUUAC
This 253-nucleotide non-coding RNA is filed under the name Clostridium acidisoli. RNAcentral's name for it is "T-box sequence". It matches the Rfam family "T-box leader". From Rfam's summary of the family: Uncharged tRNA acts as the effector for transcription antitermination of genes in the T-box leader family. T-boxes are found upstream of many aminoacyl-tRNA synthetase genes and some amino acid biosynthetic genes usually in Gram-positive bacteria. Lineage: Bacteria; Bacillati; Bacillota; Clostridia; Eubacteriales; Clostridiaceae. The record is from RNAcentral.